ACUUUAACAUGGAGGUACUUUCU
This 23-nucleotide non-coding RNA is filed under the name Gallus gallus (chicken). RNAcentral also lists the same sequence under 6 other names. The record is from RNAcentral. Lineage: Eukaryota; Metazoa; Chordata; Aves; Galliformes; Phasianidae.